This 349-nucleotide transfer-messenger RNA is filed under the name Hydrogenobaculum sp. It matches the Rfam family "transfer-messenger RNA". From Rfam's summary of the family: Bacterial tmRNA, also known as 10Sa RNA or SsrA, is named for its dual tRNA and mRNA-like properties. Its role is to liberate the mRNA from a stalled ribosome. The record is from RNAcentral. Lineage: Bacteria; Pseudomonadati; Aquificota; Aquificia; Aquificales; Aquificaceae.
GGGGGCGAACGGUUUCGACGUUGGAGCGCCGGGUAGAUGAUAGCAGGCCAGGUGGCAACUGUGAUAGCCAAAACAAACAGCUCCCGAAGCUGAACUCGCUCUCGCUGCUUAAUUAACAAGCAGCGCGUCCUUGCUGGUUUAGGCACCUUGGCCAGCUGUGGGCGUCAUAGAAAGGUGCUCUGGUUGGUGGUUGGCUGUCUUGCACCAAACCAGUACUUAAGACAGCCUGAGGUUUGUGGUUUUUCAUAGGUUUUACCGCAAACCCAGUAUCAUAAAACCUAUGUAAGCCUGUAGAAGUCAUCUAUCCCGGUUCUGACGGACGCGGGUUCGAUUCCCGCCGCCUCCACCA